CCUACGGGAGGCAGCAGUGAGGAAUAUUGGUCAAUGGGCGGGAGCCUGAACCAGCCAAGCCGCGUGAGGGAAGAAGGUACAGCGUAUCGUAAACCUCUUUUGUCAGGGAACAAAGGCGGGGACUAGUCCCCGGAUGAGGGUACCUGAAGAAAAAGCAUCGGCUAACUCCGUGCCAGCAGCCGCGGUAAUACGGAGGAUGCGAGCGUUAUCCGGAUUUAUUGGGUUUAAGGGGUGCGCAGGCGGCCUGUUAAGUCAGCGGUAAAAGCCCGGGGCUCAACCCCGGCGAGCCGUUGAAACUGGGGGGCGGGAGUGGGAGAGAGGGAGGGGGGAUGCGGGGGGGAGGGGUGAAAGG
RNAcentral lists this ribosomal RNA (352 nucleotides) under uncultured bacterium. RNAcentral's name for it is "partial 16S ribosomal RNA". It matches the Rfam family "Bacterial small subunit ribosomal RNA", at positions 338 to 688 of the family's 1533-position model. The record is from RNAcentral.